CUUCUGAAGGUUGUGGCCAGCCUCCGUGGCCUCUGACGGGGUGCUCUCUCCAGAGGGAGGCCUGGACUCGAGAGUCCUGACCCCGAAGGGGAAAUCCGCUUGUUGGGGGCUCCGGUUGAACUGGAGCCGGAGGAAGUGGUGCUGUUGGGAUGCCCCUGGGUUGCAAGCUUUGGACAGCGGUAGCCAAGGCUUGCACCUGUUGCACCAGGGCAUCAAACUGCUCCGGCCGGACUUGAGGAAUUGACUCGGCCGGAGGCGGUGAGUUUUGGACAGAAUGUUCAUGACUGGGUGGAGGACGUCGGGAGGCAUUGGAGGCCCCUUUGCUUCUUAGUUUCAUGGCAGCAACUCGGGCCCUUCCUCUAGCGCCAACUGUUGCUGGAAAUUGGACCCGGGGCCGCCGCGAAACCAGGGGAGGAGGAGCUCCGCUGCCGGGAGGGCGGACGGCGGUGCGCUGGCAGACUGCGUCCUCCGUGGGGAUGAGAGAGCGGAGAGGAGUGCGUCCUGUCCUGUCCUCCGUGGGAGGAGCUCCGCCGCAGGGACGGUGGUCGGCGGUGCGCCGACUGGUGGUGUCCUCCUGGGGGGUGUGAGUCCUGCAAAGAAGCCGGUGGCCGGGCUUUCCGGCGCCGGCCCUCCGAUGCUUAAGUCAGAGGGGACUAGUAUGUGGAGAGAGCAAGGAAGAGAUGUGGAGAAGAUGAAGAGAAUAUUAAGCUCAAUUGUGUCUGUGCUGUUUCUUUUUCAUCCUCCCCCCCUCC
Molecule: long non-coding RNA, 752 nt
Filed under: Phoenix dactylifera (date palm)
Lineage: Eukaryota; Viridiplantae; Streptophyta; Magnoliopsida; Arecales; Arecaceae
Description: long non-coding RNA (PDAC_LNC018620)
Source: RNAcentral